This 447-nucleotide ribosomal RNA is filed under the name uncultured Streptococcus sp. Its description in RNAcentral is "bacterial SSU rRNA". It matches the Rfam family "Bacterial small subunit ribosomal RNA", at positions 933 to 1382 of the family's 1533-position model. Lineage: Bacteria; Bacillati; Bacillota; Bacilli; Lactobacillales; Streptococcaceae. The record is from RNAcentral.
UGGAGCAUGUGGUUUAAUUCGAAGCAACGCGAAGAACCUUACCAGGUCUUGACAUCCCGAUGCUAUUUCUAGAGAUAGAAAGUUACUUCGGUACAUCGGUGACAGGUGGUGCAUGGUUGUCGUCAGCUCGUGUCGUGAGAUGUUGGGUUGAGUCCCGCAACGAGCGCAACCCCUAUUGUUAGUUGCCAUCAUUCAGUUGGGCACUCUAGCGAGACUGCCGGUAAUAAACCGGAGGAAGUGGGGAUGACGUCAAAUCAUCAUGCCCCUUAUGACCUGGGCUACACACGUGCUACAAUGGUUGGUACAACGAGUUGCGAGUCGGUGACGGCGAGCUAAUCUCUUAAAGCCAAUCUCAGUUCGGAUUGUAGGCUGCAACUCGCCUACAUGAAGUCGGAAUCGCUAGUAAUCGCGGAUCAGCACGCCGCGGUGAAUACGUUCCCGGGCCUU